GUUUGUUUAAUCGACUUUCAAUCUUGAAAGUUUCAAUGAGCAACAAAUGUGAGGACUUAGCGUCCUUGUUUCUUUUAGAUACCUCAACUUCACAAAGCUCAGUACAAAUAACAGUACAUUGCCAUCUCUUCUGCAUGCCCUACCAGACAACUUCCCGUCAGAUUCACCACACUUUAGUCCGCUGUUAAAGAAGAUUAACAAAAAUACAGUGAC
RNAcentral lists this long non-coding RNA (213 nucleotides) under Mytilus galloprovincialis (Mediterranean mussel). Lineage: Eukaryota; Metazoa; Mollusca; Bivalvia; Mytilida; Mytilidae. The record is from RNAcentral.